UACGGAGGGUGCAAACGUUGCUCGGAAUCAUUGGGCGUAAAGCGCACGUAGGCGGUUUGUUAAGUCGGAUGUGAAAGCCCUCGGCUUAACCGAGGAAGUGCAUACGAAACUGGCGAACUUGAGUACGGGAGAGGGUCGCGGAAUUCCCGGUGUAGAGGUGAAAUUCGUAGAUAUCGGGAGGAACACCAGUGGCGAAGGCGGCGACCUGGACCGAUACUGACGCUGAGGUGCGAAAGCGUGGGGAGCAAACAGG
RNAcentral lists this ribosomal RNA (253 nucleotides) under uncultured bacterium. RNAcentral's name for it is "partial 16S ribosomal RNA". It matches the Rfam family "Bacterial small subunit ribosomal RNA", at positions 524 to 776 of the family's 1533-position model. The record is from RNAcentral.